GUUAUAGUUUAUUUGGUAAUCAAACUUACAUGGAUAACCGUGGUAAUUCUAGAGCUAAUACAUGCUGUCGCGCCCGACUCACGAAGGGCCGUAUUUAUUAGAUCCCAGCCAAUAAGCUCCGGCUAUUGUGGUGACUCAUAGUAACUUUUUCGGACCGCAUGGGCUUGUCCCGCGGCGGACCAUUCAAGUUUCUGCCCCAUCAUGCUUUCGAUGGUAGUGUAUUGGACUACCAUGGCUUUCACGGGUAACGGAGGAUUAGGGUUCGAUUCCGGAGAGGGAGCCUGAGAAACGGCUACCACUUCCACGGAAGGCAGCAGGCGCGUAAAUUACCCAAUCCUGACUCAGGGAGGUAGUGACAAGAAAUAAUGGGUCGGGGUUUCACCCCGGGACUGCAAUGAGAUGAAUCUAGACCCCUUAUCGAGGACCAAUUGGAGGGCAAGUCUGGUGCCAGCAGCCGCGGUAAUUCCAGCUCCAAUAGCGUAUAUUAAAGUUGUUGCAGUUAAAAAGCUCGUAGUUGGAUUUCUGGUCGGGGGUUAGGGCGCACUGUCGUGAUGCCCGCGUCUUYGGCCAUCCUUCUGUUAACCCUUCAGGGCGUUCGUUCGUCGGUUGGGGGCUCAGAUAUUUUACCUUGAGAAAAUUAGAGUGUUUCAGGCAGGCUUGUGCCCGGAUACAUUAGCAUGGAAUAAUGGAAUAGGACUUUAGCCUCUUCUGUUGGUCUGAGGGGUUGGAGUAAUGAUUAAUAGGGAUAGUUGGGGGCAUUAGUACUUAACUGUCAGAGGUGAAAUUCUCGGAUUUGUUAAAGAUUAACUUAUGCGAAAGCAUUUGCCAAGGAUGUUUU
RNAcentral lists this ribosomal RNA (838 nucleotides) under Dadayiella ganymedes. RNAcentral's name for it is "SSU rRNA". It matches the Rfam family "Eukaryotic small subunit ribosomal RNA", at positions 109 to 981 of the family's 1831-position model. The record is from RNAcentral. Lineage: Eukaryota; Ciliophora; Spirotrichea; Tintinnida; Tintinnidae.